RNAcentral lists this unclassified non-coding RNA (363 nucleotides) under uncultured bacterium. Its description in RNAcentral is "contains 16S-23S intergenic spacer region". The record is from RNAcentral.
UCCCCGUUACCGGGGCAGUCUGAAUAGAAAAAUACAACUAUUCACAAGGGUUGCGCUCGUUGAUGGACUUAACCAAACAUCUCACGACACGAGCUGACGACGGCCAUGCAGCACCUGUCACUUGGUUCCAAAAGGCACACUCUACUUUCGUAGUGCUUCCAAGGAUGUCAAGUCCUGGUAAGGUUCUUCGUUUAACAUCGAAUUAAAGAACAUGAUCCACCGCUUGUGCUGAUCCCCGUCAAUUCCUUUAUGUUUUAAUCUUGCGACCGUACUCCCCAGGCGGUCGACUUCACGCGUUAGCUGCGGUACUAAGGAAGUCUCCUUCCCCAACACCUAGUCGACAUCGUUUAGGGCGUGGACUAC